RNAcentral lists this ribosomal RNA (253 nucleotides) under uncultured bacterium. RNAcentral describes it as "partial 16S ribosomal RNA". It matches the Rfam family "Bacterial small subunit ribosomal RNA", at positions 524 to 776 of the family's 1533-position model. The record is from RNAcentral.
GACAGAGGCCCCAAGCGUUAGGCGGAAUCACUGGGCUUAAAGCGUGUGUAGGCGGAUCGUUAAGUGUCUUGUGAAAUCCCACGGCUCACCCGUGGAACUGCUGGGCAUACUGGCGAUCUUGGGCCAACUAGGGGCAGCCGGAACAAGCGGUGGAGCGGUGAAAUGCGUAGAUAUCACUUGGAACGCCAAUGGUGAAAACAGCUCGCUGGGGAUGUGCCGACGCUGAGACACGAAAGCCAGGGGAGCGAACGGG